RNAcentral lists this ribosomal RNA (279 nucleotides) under uncultured bacterium. RNAcentral's name for it is "partial 16S ribosomal RNA". It matches the Rfam family "Bacterial small subunit ribosomal RNA", at positions 506 to 784 of the family's 1533-position model. The record is from RNAcentral.
UGCCAGCAGCCGCGGUAAUACGGAGGGGGUUAGCGUUGUUCGGAAUUACUGGGCGUAAAGCGCACGUAGGCGGAUUAGAAAGUUAGAGGUGAAAUCCCGGGGCUCAACCCCGGAACUGCCUUUAAAACUACUAGUCUAGAGUUCGAGAGAGGUAAGUGGAAUUCCAAGUGCAGAGGUGAAAUUCGUAGAUAUUUGGAGGAACACCAGUGGCGAAGGCGGCUUACUGGCUCGAUACUGACGCUGAGGUGCGAAAGCAUGGGUAGCGAAGAGGAUUAGAUA